ACGCUGGCGGCAGGCCUAACACAUGCAAGUCGAGCGGCAGCACAGGUACUUGUACCGGGUGGCGAGCGGCGGACGGGUGAGUAAUGCCUAGGAAUCUGCCUGGUAGUGGGGGAUAACGCUCGGAAACGGACGCUAAUACCGCAUACGUCCUACGGGAGAAAGCAGGGGACCUUCGGGCCUUGCGCUAUCAGAUGAGCCUAGGUCGGAUUAGCUGGUUGGUGGGGUAAUGGCUCACCAAGGCGACGAUCCGUAACUGGUCUGAGAGGAUGAUCAGUCACACUGGAACUGAGACACGGUCCAGACUCCUACGGGAGGCAGCAGUGGGGAAUAUUGGACAAUGGGCGCAAGCCUGAUCCAGCCAUGCCGCGUGUGUGAAGAAGGUCUUCGGAUUGUAAAGCACUUUAAGUUGGGAGGAAGGGCCGUUACCUAAUACGUGAUGGUUUUGACGUUACCGACAGAAUAAGCACCGGCUAACUCUGUGCCAGCAGCCGCGGUAAUACAGAGGGUGCAAGCGUUAAUCGGAAUUACUGGGCGUAAGGCGCGCGUAGGUGGUUUGUCAAGUUGAAUGUGAAAGCCCCGGGCUCAACCUGGGAACUGCAUGCAAACUGGC
RNAcentral lists this ribosomal RNA (610 nucleotides) under uncultured bacterium. RNAcentral describes it as "bacterial SSU rRNA". It matches the Rfam family "Bacterial small subunit ribosomal RNA", at positions 33 to 637 of the family's 1533-position model. The record is from RNAcentral.